GGGAAUGUGGCUUAGUGGUAGAGUGCUUGCCUACCAUGCAUGAAGCCCUGGGUUUAAUUCCUCAGUACCA
RNAcentral lists this transfer RNA (70 nucleotides) under Dipodomys ordii (Ord's kangaroo rat). It matches the Rfam family "tRNA". Rfam says of the family: Transfer RNA (tRNA) molecules are approximately 80 nucleotides in length. The record is from Rfam by way of RNAcentral. Lineage: Eukaryota; Metazoa; Chordata; Mammalia; Rodentia; Heteromyidae.